GCCAGACUCCUACGGGAGGCAGCAGUGGGGGAUAUUGCACAAUGGGGGAAACCCUGAUGCAGCGACGCCGCGUGAGUGAAGAAGUAUUUCGGUAUGUAAAGCUCUAUCAGCAGGGAAGAAAAAAGACGGUACCUGACUAAGAAGCCCCGGCUAACUACGUGCCAGCAGCCGCGGUAAUACGUAGGGGGCAAGCGUUAUCCGGAUUUACUGGGUGUAAAGGGAGCGUAGACGGCAAUACAAGUCGGAAGUGAAAUACCCGGGCUCAACCUGGGAACUGCUUUGGAAACUGUAUGGCUGGAGCGCUGGAGAGGUAAGCGGAAUUCCUAGUGUAGCGGUGAAAUGCGUAGAUAUUAGGAGGAACACCAGUGGCGAAGGCGGCUUGCUGGACGAUGACUGACGUUGAGGCUCGAAAGCGUGGGGAGCAAACAGGAUUAGAUACCCCCGUA
RNAcentral lists this ribosomal RNA (446 nucleotides) under uncultured bacterium. RNAcentral's name for it is "bacterial SSU rRNA". It matches the Rfam family "Bacterial small subunit ribosomal RNA", at positions 330 to 792 of the family's 1533-position model. The record is from RNAcentral.